CUUGUCUUCGGACGCGUCCACACAGGUGCUGCAUGGCUGUCGUCAGCUCGUGUCGUGAGAUGUUGGGUUAAGUCCCGCAACGAGCGCAACCCUCAUCUUCAGUUGCCAUCAUUUAGUUGGGCACUCUGAAGAAACUGCCGGUGACAAGCCGGAGGAAGGUGGGGAUGACGUCAAGUCCUCAUGGCCCUUACGGGCUGGGCUACACACGUGCUACAAUGGUGGUGACAGUGGGUCGCUAACUCGCGAGAGUAUGCUAAUCCCUAAAAGCCAUCUCAGUUCGGAUUGCACUCUGCAACUCGAGUGCAUGAAGUCGGAAUCGCUAGUAAUCGUGGAUCAGCAUGCCACGGUGAAUACGUUCCCGGGCCUUGUACACACCGCCCGUCACACCAUGGGAGUUGGCUUUACCCGAAGCCGGUGCGCUAACCGCAAGGAGGCAGCCGACCACGGUAAGGUCAGCGACUGGGGUAAAGUCGUAACAAGGUAGCCGUAGGGGAACCUGCGGCU
RNAcentral lists this ribosomal RNA (504 nucleotides) under uncultured Rhodospirillaceae bacterium. RNAcentral describes it as "bacterial SSU rRNA". It matches the Rfam family "Bacterial small subunit ribosomal RNA", at positions 1013 to 1519 of the family's 1533-position model. Lineage: Bacteria; Pseudomonadati; Pseudomonadota; Alphaproteobacteria; Rhodospirillales; Rhodospirillaceae. The record is from RNAcentral.